This 433-nucleotide ribosomal RNA is filed under the name uncultured bacterium. Its description in RNAcentral is "partial 16S ribosomal RNA". It matches the Rfam family "Bacterial small subunit ribosomal RNA", at positions 29 to 507 of the family's 1533-position model. The record is from RNAcentral.
AACGAACGCUGGCGGCAGGCCUAACACAUGCCAGUCGAGCGCGCCCUUCGGGAUGAGCGGCGGACGGGUGAGUAACGCGUGGGAACGUUCCCUUUUCUACGGAAUAGCCUCGGGAAACUGAGAGUAAUACCGUAUACGUCCUUUGGGGGAAAGAUUUAUCGGAAAAGGAUCGGCCCGCGUUGGACUAGGUAGUUGGUGGGGUAAUGGCCUACCAAGCCGACGAUCCAUAGCUGGUUUGAGAGGAUGAUCAGCCACACUGAGGCUGAGACACGGCCCAGACUCCUGCGGGAGGCAGCAGUGGGGAAUCUUGGAAAAUGGGGGCGAUGCUGAUCGAGCCAUGGCGCGUGAGUGAUGAAGGCCUUAGAGUUGUAAAGCUCUUUCAGCUGGGAAGAUAAUGACGGUACCAGCAGAAGAAGCCCCGGCUAACUCCGUG